UUCCGGUUGAUCCUGCCAGAGGCGACCGCUUUUGGAGUUCGAUUAAGCCAUGCGAGUAGAAAGAAAUUAGAUUCUUUGCAAACUGCUCAGUAACACGUGGAUAACCUGCCCUAUGCUCCGGAAUAACCUCGGGAAACUGAGAAUAAUACCGGAUAGAUCACAACGCCUGGAACGGUGUGUGGUUCAAAGGUCACGGCAUAGGAUGGGUCUGCGGCGUAUCAGGUCGUAGGGGGUGUAACGGACCUCCUAGCCAUCGACGCGUACGGGUGUUGGGAGACAUAGCCCGGAGAUGGAUUCUGAGACACGAAUCCAGACCCUACGGGGUGCAGCAGGCGCGAAAACUUCACACUGCAGGAAACUGUGAUGAGGGAACUCCAAGUGCGCGCACUUAGUGUGCGCUUUUCUUGACUAUUAAUCGGUCAUGGAAUAAGGGCUGGGAAAGACCGGUGCCAGCCGCCGCGGUAAUACCGGCAGCUCAAGUGGUCGUCGCUUUUAUUGGGCCUAAAACGUCCGUAGCCUGUUUGGUAAAUCUGUGGGUAAAUCAACCAGCUUAACUGGUUGAAUUCUGCAGAGACUGCCAGACUAGGGACCAGGAGAGGUGUGGGGUACUCUAGGGGUAGGGGUAAAAUCCUGUCAUCCUUAGAGGACCACCAGUUGCGAAGGCGCCACACUGGAACGGAUCCGACGGUCAGGGACGAAGCCUAGGGGCACGAACCGGAUUAGAUACCCGGGUAGUCCUAGGUGUAAACGCUGUGAACUUGGUGU
RNAcentral lists this ribosomal RNA (765 nucleotides) under uncultured Candidatus Poseidoniales archaeon. RNAcentral's name for it is "bacterial SSU rRNA". It matches the Rfam family "Archaeal small subunit ribosomal RNA", at positions 1 to 774 of the family's 1478-position model. Lineage: Archaea; Methanobacteriati; Thermoplasmatota; Candidatus Poseidoniia; Candidatus Poseidoniales. The record is from RNAcentral.